ACGUUGACUUUCACUGUUGAAAUGCAAAGUAAAUGCAAUUAAUGACUAUUUCUUCUUUCUUUUUAUCAAAAGGGGAAGGGGACAAGGACAUGUUGCAAGUCAUAAUCAAACCUGCGUUUCCCACAAGAGCACCAGGGCUAUGACGAAUGGGAUCUAAUACUAAGGAGGAGGACAGGGGCCAGUCGUCCGGAUUCACAGGGCAGCACAACCUGCUCCAGCCCAGCCUCAGCUCAUUAGCCAGCCCUGCUAAAAUGGAGGUGUCUUCACUUCCAAAGCCUCUGCUUUGACAUUCACACAGUGCUUCCAGUCGAUCAGUGUGUCGAAGUAAAGAUCACCACUGUAAGUGAAACUUUUGAGGCAAUUACCUUGACAAGUAAGUGAU
Long non-coding RNA from Cyprinus carpio carpio, 382 nucleotides. Lineage: Eukaryota; Metazoa; Chordata; Actinopteri; Cypriniformes; Cyprinidae. The record is from Ensembl.